RNAcentral lists this long non-coding RNA (1239 nucleotides) under Salmo salar (Atlantic salmon). RNAcentral describes it as "lncRNA (ENSSSAG00000105527.1)". The record is from RNAcentral. Lineage: Eukaryota; Metazoa; Chordata; Actinopteri; Salmoniformes; Salmonidae.
CACUCAACGGAGGAGCAUCUGAUAUGAUUAAACAUACAUGGGCAAGGAGCAGGCCAAGAUAACCAGAAGCGACAUGAAAGAUGAGAGUCCACUUUUAAUGUGUGCCUGGAGGACACCCGAUUGCCCGGGAAAGUCUUGUUUUCCCUGUGCUUGUCACGCGAGUCCUUUUUACUCCUGCCUCCACCGCCCUCGGUGUCUUACCGCAACUCUGACCCGAAUCUCUCUCUUUUGACAAGGUGAUUUGACAGUGACUUGUCUGGCCUCAUGGGAGUUUAUCAUACAAACUGGAGUAGAACGUAGUACAAAUAUGAUAGGAAAGAGAAUGAAAAGGAUGAUCCUGAGCAGUCUGUGACAGCAGGUGUCAAAAGAUAUGAUGCUGCAGAUUAAAAGGUUGGCUUGUUAUUAUGACAUGAGUUGCCCAUGGUCAAAGGAUGUGUAACCCAGCUUUCCUGUAUCAAAAGCCCAACAACACACAUGGAUGUGAUCACGACACCAUCUGGAUAGACCUAUAUCCAUAAAUGGCUGGGAAUCAUAAGGAGGAUCUGUUCAUUGUUAACAGUGUCUCAGUGUCCUCACUGUUAAACGAGUCACCCUGACACACUCAUCUGGAGUCCAUUGAGAAUACACAUAAUUUGCAAGAAAGUGCAAUAAGCCGAUGUCAUGUCUAACUCUGCUGUUAAUCCAUUAUGGCUCAAGGCCCAGAGAGCUACAGUAUACUGUUGGCACGGAACUAUAGCUAGAUCUCAGAGACCAGUAGAGGUCCCAGUAGUGAGAAUGAAAAAAUAAUGUAAUUCUUUAGCCAGAAGAGGGCAGCAAUGUAGCCUCUACUACCAUUUUGCAUAGAGCAUGUCUUUAUGGUGGCCACAAACUCUAUCUAGUCCUCAGUUGUGUAAACUACUUAAGUAAAAAAAACAUUUUUUUUUAAAGUACUACUUAAGUAGUUUUUUGGGGGUAUCUGUACUUUAGUUUGCUAUUUAUAUUUUUUGCCAACUUUUGCUCCGCUACAUUAAAGAAAAUAAUGUACUUUUUACUCAAUACAUUUUCCCUGACACUCAAAAGUACUCGUUACAUUUUGACACGAAAAUGGUCCAAUUCGCACACUUAUGAAGAGAUCAUCCCUGGUCAUCCCUAAUGCCUCUGAUCUGACGAACUCACUAAACAUAAAUGCUUCGUUUGUAAAUUAUGUCUGAGUGUUGGAGUGGGCUCCUGCUUAUCUGUCAAUAAAAAAAUAAAAUCGUG